This is a non-coding RNA of Aegilops tauschii subsp. strangulata, 2485 nucleotides long. The record is from RefSeq and is a predicted model, not a curated record. NCBI's taxonomy places the organism in Eukaryota, Viridiplantae, Streptophyta, Magnoliopsida, Poales, Poaceae.
AUGAUGUGUAUCACACACGCCUUCAUCUGGCUGCUUGUUUCUUUUGUUCACUACAACAAGAACAUACAUACACCAACGCAUCUUUAGCAACGGAGAGACAACAUGUGUUGUUGGGCCGUGGCCUCAACCUCUCCCACCUCCCCACGAAUAGCUAACCUCCUCCCCUUCCUCCACUAAAAAGAAGCUAACCUCCUCUCCGUGCCCACCUGCUCCUCAUCUUCCUCUCCUGUCUCCAUAAUCAUCUCCUCUCCAUCCUCAACACACCACCGUCUUUGUUGGUUUUCCGAUUAAACGCGGAUCAAGUUCCCCGGCAUGCUUAUCCUCGAGCAAGGAAAUUUUGGGUUUGAUUUCCAAGGUACCUGGUGGUGCCACCGGUGGCCAUGAUCUGGGGCGACGGCGAGGACAUCUUGAACACCGACCUAUCAAAGUUUGAGAUCCGGUCCAGGUUCGUGUCUGGUAAGCCGUCCGCAACAUCGCCGUGAAGAUGGUGAGCUAGCCAGAGCUGGAUGUCGCCAUCGCUGCCCAGUUCAAGCACAGCUUUCGAGGUCUCCCUCCUCCUCCGCCACCAAAACAUCAUCACCAUACCUACUGUAAUACUCCUCCUUUCUCAGUCCAACAUUUUCUCAACCGCCAUCUUCAUCGAUCAGAUCCACAAGAGUUGCCUGGCGAACGCGUCCACGUAUCUCUGUUGGAUCAUCUAGUUCUUAGUCUAUUUAUUAUUUCAGUAUCUGCGCUAGGAUUUUCCCUAUGGUGUUGUGAAACACGGAAGGCCCAAAUAUCCGCUUCUCCAUUCUAGAACUUUCAGUUCUAGGGAAUGCCUCAUUAAUUAGUUUCUAUCUAGUUCAACAUGUGUAGGUUCUUGCUUCUAAGCUGACUGAUUUACAUAUGCGACCAUGGAUAUCUUUGUUAAUUCAGGAAGAAUAUUUGCAUCCUCUUUUUUCUAACAAUUUUUUUCUUGUGAUGCAUUAGAUUUUCUAUUUCUUGCUGCUAUGUAAGUGAGUAAUCAAUCAGUAUUUUCAAGUGAAGUUGAUCAUCACAGAAUCGUUCAAUUAGCUCCCAAUAUUAUCUCAGAUUUAUCCUAGCUAUGACCAUGUCAUCAAAGAGCAUUCCAUCACAUAUCAAUAGGUCAACACUAUUAACAUCACCAAAUUAGUGUUAUGGAUGCUUACUAAUUUUGCUGACACACUUUGUACUAAAGGAAUGAGCCCACAUACAAAUGUUAUCUUGUUCCUAUAGGUUCUGUAUGUUUCCUGUGCCGUACCAGUUCUCACCUAUUUGGUGUCCGCAUCAUCAGUAGACAGUUACACCAAUACUAUCCAUCUGGUUACACUUCUAGCCCUCCAUCAUCGUAGGUUUUUUGGGUUAGAAUUUGGUUUAGGUGUCAACGUGCAGGGCAAGGAUGAUAGCUCCUCGGUGGGCAGUGGCGUUCGAUGGGCAGUGGCGUUGUUAGGUGUGGCUCCCUGAUCUGUGGUAGUGGCUCGGCUGCUCUGCGCUGAAUAUCAUGCAGGAUGCAGUAGUUAGAAGUAAUACAGAUAUAUGGUGUACUUGCAGCUACUGAUUUAGUACUGUUAACUGUUUAGCCAAGGAGGUAAAGUUCUGCAUCUACAGCUACUAGGCAAAUCAAAACUAUUAACUUCUUGGAUCUUUUUUCUACAAUUCCCAUCUCAUUUAGCAAUGUACUUGAAACUGGUUGUAGAGUAUUCUACUUUGCAGCAAUUUUUUGGUUCAAACAACACUAAUUGUUAGUGAAAAAAGCAGUUUGCAAAUUAGGAUAGUGAUCAUUUACGUGAAAUACUAAACCGUCCCUUGACAAUGUUUGUUUAUUUCUUAAAUAUAUUUUCAGCAUACUAACAUCACUUUCUCAGUACUUCAGGUUAACUUAGAGUACAUAUUCAGUAUACAAUAAAUUAGAAAAUGAGAUGAGCAAUUUGGGCUUGUGACCAGUGUAUGAAUAAUGAUGUAUUGAUGACUUGCAACCAGUCUACAUUGUCUUUUGUAAGUGCGGAACUUAAUUUUGUUUGUCAUGUUCCUUAAGUUUGUUAUUGGCUUAUGAAAGUUAAAUUUUAGCAUACAUAUAUUUGUACAGGUUUUUGGUCUUCUAAAUUACUAAUUCAUUUCUUAAAUCUGCAGGUUACAGAAACUGAAUAUAUAAUCUGCGUACACAGCUACUAUGGUGCCCCGCCUUUAUAUUUGUACUCCUCUAUUAACCUUAUUUUUUAUUGUAAUUUACUCACCUCAUUUUCUUGUUUUUGUAGAUUGCAAGAUAAGUUGACAAUUCAUGGCUAAGAUGUUGAUUGCAAGGUCAAGAAAGAGGCUACUACUAGAUAAUUAGAAUGUCAUUUCCAGGGCCAAUGUUUUAAACCUUGUUGUAGAUUGCAAGAUCUAUAAUGGGGCUACUACUAGAUUGUUUCAAAUUUUGUAAUCUUUGGAUCAUGAUCUUUGUAUUGCAACACAAUCGAUUUAAUAUAUGAGUCUUUUUUUAUUA